RNAcentral lists this transfer RNA (74 nucleotides) under Ixodes scapularis (black-legged tick). It matches the Rfam family "tRNA". Rfam says of the family: Transfer RNA (tRNA) molecules are approximately 80 nucleotides in length. Lineage: Eukaryota; Metazoa; Arthropoda; Arachnida; Ixodida; Ixodidae. The record is from Rfam by way of RNAcentral.
GCCGGGUUGGUCUAAUCGGUUAAGGCGUCGACCCUGGGAGGCGAAGGUUGCGGAUUCAAUCCCCGCUCCUGGCC